AUUUAGUCCUUUAUAAUCCUGAGCAACGAUUUAUUAACCCCGUUGCUACAGCUUCGCUUAAGGACAAUAUUAAAAGAAGUUUUAUUAUCCUAGCGCCCAAAUUUCUAAUUCCUAUUUGCGGUGCUCGAGAAACGUAGAACAACAUUU
Small nucleolar RNA from Eupeodes corollae, 147 nucleotides. RefSeq annotates it as small nucleolar RNA psi28S-1192. The transcript has a single exon. Lineage: Eukaryota; Metazoa; Arthropoda; Insecta; Diptera; Syrphidae. The record is from RefSeq and is a predicted model, not a curated record.